UUGUUGUAAGAAAGGAGAGCAGGUUAGCACUCCCCUUGUCAAGGACGGAAGACACUGUACGGUGUUUAACACAAAAAUGGUAAAGGCAUUGCCGCCUACUUUGUGGCAUUUAACCACGUUUUUGA
Small nuclear RNA from Anneissia japonica, 125 nucleotides. Lineage: Eukaryota; Metazoa; Echinodermata; Crinoidea; Comatulida; Comatulidae. The record is from RefSeq and is a predicted model, not a curated record.